CGAGUAGGUGGUUUGCCAAGUCAGGAGUGAAAACUCCGGGCUCAACCUGGAGAUUGCUACUGAAACUGGCAGACUUGAGUGCAGGAGAGGGAAGCGGAAUUCCUAGUGUAGCGGUGAAAUGCGUAGAUAUUAGGAGGAACACCAGUGGCGAAGGCGGCUUCCUGGCCUGUAACUGACACUGAGGCGCGAAAGCGUGGGGAGCGAACA
Molecule: ribosomal RNA, 207 nt
Filed under: uncultured Desulfotomaculum sp.
Lineage: Bacteria; Bacillati; Bacillota; Clostridia; Eubacteriales; Desulfotomaculaceae
Description: partial 16S ribosomal RNA
Rfam family: Bacterial small subunit ribosomal RNA
Source: RNAcentral